UCCGUAGGCAGCGAGCGUUGUUCGGAGUUACUGGGCGUAAAGGGUGUGUAGGCGGUUCUCUAAGUUUGGUGUGAAAUCUCCCGGCUCAACCGGGAGGGUGCGCCGAAAACUGGAGGGCUAGAGUGCGGGAAGGGAGAGUAGAAUUCCUGGUGUAGCGGUGAAAUGCGUAGAUAUCAGGAGGAAUACCGGUGGUGUAGACGGCUCUCUGGACCGCGACUGACGCUGAGACACGAAAGCGUGGGUAGCAAACAGG
RNAcentral lists this ribosomal RNA (253 nucleotides) under uncultured bacterium. RNAcentral's name for it is "partial 16S ribosomal RNA". It matches the Rfam family "Bacterial small subunit ribosomal RNA", at positions 524 to 776 of the family's 1533-position model. The record is from RNAcentral.